AAGACCUUUAAAACUAGUCCUGUGAGACUAGGAAGGCAUAUGUAGAAUAUAAAAUUAUUAUAUUAUGGUAUAAUAAUGCCUUCCUUAAAGGAAGGCAUUUUUUUAC
Clostridium autoethanogenum DSM 10061 is the source of this 106-nucleotide non-coding RNA. The record is from Rfam. Lineage: Bacteria; Bacillati; Bacillota; Clostridia; Eubacteriales; Clostridiaceae.